This 1194-nucleotide ribosomal RNA is filed under the name uncultured archaeon. RNAcentral's name for it is "bacterial SSU rRNA". It matches the Rfam family "Archaeal small subunit ribosomal RNA", at positions 247 to 1448 of the family's 1478-position model. The record is from RNAcentral.
GCUCACCAAACCGAUAAUCGAUAGGGGCCGUGAGAGCGGGAGCCCCGAGAUGGGUACUGAGACAACGACCCAGGCCUUACGAGGCGCAGCAGGCGCGGAACCUCCGCAAUACACGCAAGUGUGACGGGGUUACCCAAAGUGUUCUUAUUGAACUGUGGUAGGUGAGUAAUGUUCCCUACUAGAAAGGAGAGGGCAAGGCUGGUGCCAGCCGCCGCGGUAAAACCAGCUCUUCAAGUGGUCGGGAUGAUUAUUGGGCUUAAAGUGUCCGUAGCCGGUUUAGUAAGUUCUUGGUAAAAUCGGGUAGCUUAACUAUCUGUAUGCUAAGAAUACUGCUAUACUAGAGGGCGGGAGAGGUCUGAGGUACUAUAGGGGUAGGGGUGAAAUCUUAUAAUCCUUGUAGGACCACCAGUGGCGAAGGCGUCAGACUGGAACGCGCCUGACGGUGAGGGACGAAAGCCAGGGGAGCGAACCGGAUUAGAUACCCGGGUAGUCCUGGCCGUAAACGAUGCAUACUAGGUGAUGGUACGGCUAUGAGCCGUAUCAGUGCCGUAGGGAAACCGUUAAGUGUGCCGCCUGGGAAGUACGGUCGCAAGGCUAAAACUUAAAGGAAUUGGCGGGGGAGCACCACAAGGGGUGAAGCCUGCGGUUUAAUUGGACUCAACGCCGGGAAACUUACCAGGGGAGACAGUAGAAUGAUAGUCAGGUUGACGACCUUACUUGACGAGCUGAGAGGAGGUGCAUGGCCGUCGCCAGUUCGUGCUGUGAGGUAUCCUGUUAAGUCAGGCAACGAACGAGAUCCGCGCCUUUAUUUGCCAGCAAGAAGUUACGACUUCGUUGGGAACACUAAAGGGACCGCCGUCGAUAAGACGGAGGAAGGAGCGGGCAAAGGCAGGUCAGUAUGCCCCGAAACCCCUGGGCUACACGCGGGCUGCAAUGGUAUGAACAAUGGGCUGUAACUCCGAAAGGAGAAACCAAUCCCGAAAUCAUAUCUCAGUUGGAAUUGUCGGCUGUAACCCGCCGACAUGAACGUGGAAUCCCUAGUAAUCGUGUGUCAUCAUCGCACGGUGAAUACGUCUCUGCUCCCUGCACACACCGCCCGUCGCUCCAUCCGAGUAUACUAAAAAUGAGGUUUGGUCAUUCUGGUCAUAUCGAGUUUCUAGUAUGCGAGGAGGGAGAAGUCGUAACAAGGUAGCC